AUUGAACGCUGGCGGCAUGCCUUACACAUGCAAGUCGAACGGCAGCGCGGGAGCAAUCCUGGCGGCGAGUGGCGAACGGGUGAGUAAUACAUCGGAACGUGCCCAAUCGUGGGGGAUAACGCAGCGAAAGCUGUGCUAAUACCGCAUACGAUCUACGGAUGAAAGCAGGGGAUCGCAAGACCUUGCGCGAAUGGAGCGGCCGAUGGCAGAUUAGGUAGUUGGUGAGGUAAAGGCUCACCAAGCCUUCGAUCUGUAGCUGGUCUGAGAGGACGACCAGCCACACGGGAACUGAGACACGGCCCAGACUCCUACGGGAGGCAGCGGUGGGGAAUUUUGGACAAGGGGCGAAGGCCUGAUCCAGCCAUGCCGCGGGCAGAAUGAAGGCCUUCGGGUUGUAAACUGCUUUUGUACGGAACGAAACGGUCUUUUCUAAUAAAGAAGGCUAAUGACGGUACCGUAAGAAUAAGCACCGGCUAACUACGU
Molecule: ribosomal RNA, 483 nt
Filed under: uncultured bacterium
Lineage: Bacteria
Description: partial 16S ribosomal RNA
Rfam family: Bacterial small subunit ribosomal RNA
Source: RNAcentral